UUAUUAUUAUUAUUAUUAUUAUUAUUAUUAUUAUUGGAGUGGUGUAGUGGUUUUUGUAAUGCUGCAGAGUAUGCAUGUAAAAAGUAAUGUGAAAAGAAUAUACAGUGCCUUGAAAUACAAGUGACCCAACUUAAGAGUUUAUUUGGAGGCACGAGCAGUUGAUUAGCCAAUUUUCGUUCUUUUUUUUUUUUUUCUUGAAAUACGAGUGCGAACUUAGGAUAUAAGCAUGGAGUUGAAACCUCAACUCACAACGGCAGCAGUUUGGCCGAUAUGAUUGGUGAAUAUUUUGGGGGAAAAAAGUAAUUGCCUUUUGCAGUUAAGGUUUACUGCCAAGCUAAACAUCAAACAAAGAGAAUUAUAUGUUGUGUAUUUAAAGCAACCAUAUGGCCUCAUCUAACUGAAUGCAAACAUACUCUGGAAAAUUCCGUAGUCACAUGGGCUAACAAUUAGUAUCUAUGUGUCAGGGUUCUUACCAUUGAAGCAAUGAUAUCUGAACACCAUGGAUGUCAUACUCAAGUUUGGACUUGAACAUCAGUCCAAACACGACAUGUUUUUUUUGUUGUCUCGAACUUGGCUCGGACUUGGCCAUUGGACUCACAAAAUAUUUUUAGCGAUUCGACCAUGUCCAAAUGUUUUUAUUCCUGAAAAUUAAUGUCCUCUUUCAAAAGAAACUUGAAAUAAAACAUUUCAGAUGAUCAAAAUAGACAUUUGAUUGGUUACUCUGAUCGCAAAUG
This is a long non-coding RNA of Hippocampus comes (tiger tail seahorse), 734 nucleotides long. RefSeq lists it as uncharacterized. The record is from RefSeq and is a predicted model, not a curated record. Lineage: Eukaryota; Metazoa; Chordata; Actinopteri; Syngnathiformes; Syngnathidae. The transcript has 2 exons.